RNAcentral lists this ribosomal RNA (449 nucleotides) under uncultured bacterium. RNAcentral's name for it is "partial 16S ribosomal RNA". It matches the Rfam family "Bacterial small subunit ribosomal RNA", at positions 29 to 523 of the family's 1533-position model. The record is from RNAcentral.
AGCGAACGCUGGCGGCAGGCUUAACACAUGCAAGUCGAGCGGGCACUUCGGUGUCAGCGGCAGACGGGUGAGUAACGCGUGGGAACGUGCCCUUCGGUUCGGAAUACCUCAGGGAAACUUGAGCUAAUACCGGAUACGCCCUUUUGGGGAAAGGUUUAUCUGCCGAAGGAUCGGCCCGCGUCUGAUGAGCUAGUUGGUGAGGUUAUGGCUCACCAAGGCGACGAUCAGUAGCUGGUCUGAGAGGAUGAUCAGCCACACUGGGACUGAGACACGGCCCAGACUCCUACGGGAGGCAGCAGUGGGGAAUAUUGGACAAUGGGGGCACCCUGAUCCAGCCAUGCCGCGUGAGUGAUGACGGCCUUAGGGUUGUAAAGCUCUUUUCUCCGGGACGAUAAUGACGGUACCGGAGGAAUAAGCCCCGGCUAACUUCGUGCCAGCAGCCGCCGUAA